This 24-nucleotide ribosomal RNA is filed under the name Laimosemion geayi. Its description in RNAcentral is "partial 16S ribosomal RNA". The record is from RNAcentral. Lineage: Eukaryota; Metazoa; Chordata; Actinopteri; Cyprinodontiformes; Rivulidae.
UACUUAAUAGCUAGCUUACAUAAA